CCCUUAGGGCUUUUCUUCUGGCUCUAGACUUGGAGAAGCAGACACAUCCACCGUAUCAUCCAUAGCUAGAGAACAGCUACAUGCUAUAAGCAUAUUAUUUCUAGACUCCUACCAUUCUCGAAGCUUUUCUUUUCUUUGAUUUUCCUCCCAUCAUUUGAAAAGUUUUGCCUCAAGGUUAACCCCAGGAUUAAAAGUAGGUAAUAUUUACUAAAUUAAUAUUAGUGUAUUUGCUUAAAUUAGUUAAUUCUACAAUUAUCACUUUAAAACUUUUAUGUCAAGGAAAGAUACAACUCUUAUAUCCAUCAAUGUUCUCAGGGCCAUUUUCUUAAAUGCUAUUAUUUCCUUUUUGUAGAAAACUUUUUCAUUUAGGAUCUCAUUUUAUCUUUACACACAUACAAAAUAAGUCUCCAAUGGCUUUACCAUUAGCUAACUGUAGUCUUCACCAUGCUCAGAGCAAACCUAUGUAACAUCAUGUUAGAUCCUUGACCAAACUGCCUCCAGUAAGUCUUUCAAAAAGAUGUGCAAACAUUAGCUGUACAAUACACUAUGAUUCAUCUGAAAAAAAAAAA
Molecule: long non-coding RNA, 569 nt
Organism: Phyllostomus discolor (pale spear-nosed bat)
Lineage: Eukaryota; Metazoa; Chordata; Mammalia; Chiroptera; Phyllostomidae
Exons: 2
Source: RefSeq, a predicted model, not a curated record